This 485-nucleotide ribosomal RNA is filed under the name uncultured bacterium. Its description in RNAcentral is "bacterial SSU rRNA". It matches the Rfam family "Bacterial small subunit ribosomal RNA", at positions 29 to 507 of the family's 1533-position model. The record is from RNAcentral.
ACGAACGCUGGCGGCGUGCCUGACACAUGCAAGUCGGACGGUUCUUGUACCUUCAAGCUUGCUUGUUGGUGCAAGGAUAGUGGCGGACGGGUGAGUAACGCGUGAACAUCUACCCAUUGGAGGGGGACAACCCGUCGAAAGGCGGGCUAAUACCGCGUAAGCCGCGAGGUGAGAGGCUGCCUAUUGGUGGCCGCCGAUGGAUGGGUUCGCGUCCUAUCAGCUGGUUGGUGGGGUAACGGCCUACCAAGGCGAAGACGGGUAGCCGGUCUGAGAGGAUGGCCGGCCACACUGGAACUGAGACACGGUCCAGACUCCUACGGGAGGCAGCAGUGGGGAAUAUUGGACAAUGGAUGGAAAUCUGAUCCAGCCAUGCCGCGUGCAGGAAGACAGCCCUAUGGGUUGUAAACUGCUUUUAUAUGGGAGCAAUAAGGUCUACGUGUAGACUGAUGAGAGUACCAUAUGAAUAAGCAUCGGCUAACUCCGUG